Sorghum bicolor (sorghum) is the source of this 3530-nucleotide long non-coding RNA. RefSeq lists it as uncharacterized. The record is from RefSeq and is a predicted model, not a curated record. Lineage: Eukaryota; Viridiplantae; Streptophyta; Magnoliopsida; Poales; Poaceae. The transcript is spliced from 3 exons.
CAGCCGCCGCUCCUCCGCCGCCGCUCGCCGCGCCCAGCCGCCCGCGCACGCCCAGCUCCCCCGCCGCCGCUUGCCAUGCACAGAUCGAUGCACUGCAACACGCAAGGGGCAACACACACACCCAUCCUCUUCUCUCUCCCUCUCUCUGCUUCUUUCCCCUUCUUCUAGAUCGAUGACCAUGGAUGCUGAGCUCUCCAAAUCCUUGCCCAAAAGCACACGCUACUAGUAAAUGGCACACUCACAUCCUCCAGCCUCACACGCACACCUUCCAACCUCCUGUCGUCUUUGUCUAUCUCCUUCCACUUUCUUUUCCCUUCUACUCAUGGAGCUCAAGCAAUCCACCCCAGAUCGACCAUUAGGGUUGGGGAUUUCUAAGGAUUUAACUCCAAAAUCGAUCUAUUAGGGACUAUGACUGCUGUGUACUAAUUUUUUUUCUCCCCUUCGAUUUUUUUUCUCUAAAAUUAGGGAUUUAGGAUCCGGCACUAUUUUCCCCAACCUGAUAGUAAGUUCAUCUCCCUCUCAUUUUCCUGUUCUUUUUUUAAAACCUAAUCUGUAGCUCAAAGAUACAUACUUGAGAGUUCUAGUAUAAGUUCUUGUGUUAAAUCUUCAUCCCACAUUUAAGUAUUAAGUGAAUACUUGUGCUGAGAAAAAAAGAAAGAAAACAGUUCAUGUUCUGGCAACAAUUAGCUCAUAUUUUUUUGCAUCUUGAAUAUUUUAUCUAUCUGUCAUGUGUAAGACUAGUGCAACCAAUAUGUUUAUCUCUUUUGGCAUGUGCUUUGUGUUAUCUGUAGAAAAAAAGGAGAAAACUUUCUCUAGAAGAAUGUGCGGUGCAGGUCAAACCUCACCUUAAUCUUUGAGAUUUCAGCUGUAGGCAUAGGCUUGUGCUUCCUCACAAGCAACCCUUCUAUCUGCUGAUGUAAAGAAAUUUUCCAAGGAUUAAUACAUGAUCUCUGUAUUUUGAUAUCAAUGUGUAUCAAUUAUUUUGCUGAUGUAAUUAAGAGAACUGAUGGCUCACUUAUCCAAGGUUAAUUAUCUACUAAAAACUGGGUCUUUGCAGCCACUCAAAUAAACAAUGAUGCAUUAUUCAUUAGCACAAACCACCAGCCAGUUGCGAGAGAUUUUUCCAAUAGAUUAUGUCAGAAAUAGCUACAUUUCAGUGAUUUAGGUCUGUGUAUCUUUUGUGAAAAUGGAAUCAUUGCUCUUUCAGUCUUCUAAAAAAUUGAGCAGCACUGUAAGAAUAGGAAAUGUUAUAAAUAAAUCACUGAAAUUUUGACACUCCCCAAUUUUGAUUUAUCUUGUUCUUUCUUGCUUCAGGGUUUGGACUACAGCUCCUUUCUUUUUCUCUAUGCAAUGCCAAAUAUCUAGAAGCCAUUUGUAUGUAUGCCUAUGGUGUUAGGGCCUUCAGCGGUGGACUGGUUGUUGUUUGGCAUAACAAGUAUAAAACUAUCUGUUCCAACUGUGGCAUGCGAACUCUCUCAGGUAUUCAGUUUGAGAACAACUGUGAAGUUGGUGUUUUCUCCAACUGUGGGUUUUGAGUUUUUGACCCCCACUGUAUCUCCAGUAGGACAAAGGUAAAAUAAGCCAGAGUCUACCUCAGCUCCACUUUGUUUGUUUGGCUGGGCUAUCAUUUUCCAUUCCCUUCAGUGUUCUGUUAGGGACAAGUGCUUACAGUUUUUUGAUCUGUGCAUGCAAGCUGUGAAGCACCUGAUUACUGGAUGGUGAAAUUACUUCUUGUCUCUAUUUAUUGGUCCAAUAAUUGAUAUUUUUCCUAGAACACAUGGUAUUGUUCACCAAGCAUAUUUAGUCGGUUCUAAACUUUUGAUCAAGUUCUCCUGUCCAUCUUAUCAUGUGUCAAUGCAGGGGACUGCCUAUACAAGGGGAAACUGAAGCUCGUAGGUUGUUGUGGGCAGCGUACACCGCUGUGAGUAUGUGCCACACUAAUCCAUAUGUUUGCAAACUUGGGAGGCUACAUAAGGGAGCUCAACCAUUUCCUGAACAUAUGGUGUUUCAUGACAUAGGAGUUAGUAAUAUCCUUUCCACUUUGAAAACUAUUAGUGACCUGUGUGUUAUAAUAUAUAGACUUCAUGUAAGGAUGAAUGUUAAAUGCAGUUGUAAUAUUCUUAUGGAUGUGUUAAUGUCAAUAUAAUGGUUGGGCUCAAUAACAGAAUGUAUGUGAUGGUUGAUCUGAUGUCGCUCGGCACUCCCCAUGUGCCCUCGCUCUCAGACCCGGCCGAGACUUCUCCACGCGUGCUCACUGUCAGCCCGCCCGGCACCAUCCACGCUUCCUCCAAUCACCCUCCUGUCUCCCCUCCCCCUCGCGAGAUCCCUCUCCCCCGUGCCCCUCGCUGUGCGCACUCGCACGCGAGGGUCGCCCAUGCCGCCACCUCCUCUCCCUCGUCGUCACACUCAGCCGAACGGACGAGCCCUCGCGAUCCUAGCGCACCGCCAUCUGGAGAAGCCAAGCAUGAACGUCGUCGCCUCCUCUCCCUCCAUGUCGUACCCACACCGCCACCAUCGUCGUUGUUGUUGUCGCACUCGCGCCGUUGUCGCGCUCACCGAACGGAUGAGCCCUCGUGAUCCUAGCACGCCGCCAUCGAGAGAAGCCAAGCCCGAACACCGCUGCAUCCUCUCCCUUCCCACCGCCUCCUCUCCCUCGCUCAAGACAGAAAGAUAACCCAGGCCAUCGGAUCCAGAGCUGUACGUGCAGCUGGGUGAGCAGGAUGACCUGGAAGCGCUCCUCCAGCUGGGUGAGCUGUACGUGCAGCUGGGAGUUGCCAUGGCCGGCCUUGUCGGCGUCCUCCGCCGGCUCAGGAAUCUCACAGAGUGGUGCUGCUUGAAUGCUUUCUAUCUGAUUUUGUUUGAUUUUUUAGCAGGGUGUUGGAUUCUUUAGAGAUGAUUUUCAGGGAGUGCUAUUUGGAUUUGUGCACAAACUGGGACCGCGAAUCGAAUCUGCAUCCACUUCUUUCAUUUUGCUUUUAUGAAUUUGUGACGGGGCCGGGGGAAGAAUUAAGAAGAAUGUGUAUCCAACGUGAAGGUUGAAGCAGCCGAAUGCUCUGCAUGCUUUGCUUUUCUGAAUUUGGAUGGCCAUGUUGCAAAAAGACUGCAUGUUGCUGCUGCCACACUGCUGAUUUGAUAGUAGUAAAAAGUUUGAAUUUUUGAAGAAGAGGAUAUUGCAGCAGACAACAAUAAAAAGCUGGGCGCACUUUGUGCAAACACAACGAGGGGUUGUAUUCAACGCUAAUGGCAAACGUUUAAGAAAAUGAAGCACUUCUUUCUGCUUGCUAUAGACAUUUAAGGGCAUCGUCAUCUAUGAUCAUUGCAGCCGUUGGUCCGUCAAGCAAAACAUGAGUCCAAAACACGCUCAAAGAGUCAAUUUUGAACAUGAUACUACCUACAUUCAAACUUAAAAUUAUCGUAGCAUAGUUUUGUCUUGCAGAUAUUUGACGCUUAUUUUUUUUGGUAAUUUUACAACACAUGUUUAAACUUGAGUUAUUGUGGAAUUGUUUUUUUAUAUUGCAUCGCAAAACAAA